UACGUAGGCAGCAAGCGUUGUUCGGAAUUACUGGGCGUAAAGGGUGCGUAGGCGGCUUUUUAAGUUUGGUGUGAAAUCUCCCGGCUCAACUGGGAGGGUGCGCCGAAUACUGAGAAGCUAGAGUGUGGGAGAGGAAAGUGGAAUUCCUGGUGUAGCGGUGAAAUGCGUAGAGAUCCGGAAGAACACCGGUGGCGAAGGCGGCCUGCUGGGCAGUUUAGCUGACACUGAGGCGCGACAGCGUGGGGAGCAAACAGG
RNAcentral lists this ribosomal RNA (255 nucleotides) under uncultured bacterium. RNAcentral describes it as "partial 16S ribosomal RNA". It matches the Rfam family "Bacterial small subunit ribosomal RNA", at positions 524 to 776 of the family's 1533-position model. The record is from RNAcentral.